GAAAAGUUGUGUGAUUACUUGGAGGAAAAUGAUGAAUGUCAGUAUGCUUUUCAAGAAUUACAAACUAUGUAUCUUCUGUCAUCGUACGGCCGGAGGCCACCCCAAAGCCCGACCUGCACCCGCCAGUACUCUGCUCCGCUAACGGAAAGCACCCCUAGCCAUGGCCCACCUGAGUCAAGUGAGCGGACCGCAGCCCAAGGUAGAGAAUAGUGAACCAUUUUAAUUACGCAUGCAACGCACUCCCCAUGCCUACAAAAUUCCCCACACAAUAAUAAAGUAAUCAGAAACAAACAAAAGCCCCUAAUUAAUAGAGUGCGACGUAGGAGUGCCCGGGUCACUCACGUGUAGCUUUCUACUAAAACAGCUGUGAGUGCAACCCUUGCGGCCUUCAGCCUAAAUUCAGUAGUGAAACGUGUGACGUAAUGCAAACCGCCCCAAAUUAGCAUUAUCAUUCGCCACUGGAGUAGUUACCAAGAAACAGUCAGUCUCCAGCUUGACUCCAAUAUUCAAACUUAUUUUAGACGAACUUAGUAAAUGUCAUUUCUAAAACAUAUAGAUAUUAAAUUAAUCAUUAUGUUUUAUUAUGUGAAUUUAGAGCCACUUAAAUUUAGUUAAUUAUAUAGAUUUUUACGAAUAACGGAACUUUAGAAACUCUGGCGCGACAGGGAGCUCACCCCUCCCCUCGCGCAAGGGCCGGACGCCAGUACAGCGCGACUCGCGGACCGGGACGGACGCACGUCCCACGGGGAGCCAGCAUCUCUUUGUUUCACCGAACGUCCAUCUGGUAAUUAUAGUCACAACCAAAACCUUUUUUUAAAUACUCCCCGUGUGCGCCCGGUCCUUUUCCGGUGUAGGGCCUAACCCAGCCGCGUCAAUUUAACACGCCCCACACAAAGCAUUACGUGGGGCCGUGCAGUAUACGGUACAGGCCGUCUCCCGCCACCCUAGAACUUUAGUUAAUCGCCCAGUGCACAGGCACAGGCUACAUCCAAGCUUAAACGUGUUUUUAAUUUAGUAGCGAGCCGCGGUCCACACAGGUGGGCCCGCGCGUCGCAAGUUACUGAUUACGAGAUUAGCCGAUGCUAAUCGAACGCUCUCCCUCAACUGCGACUGGCGUGAGGACUUAAUAAGUAAACACACGUAGAGGCACGCAGGUGUCCCUCUCAGAUAACGUGUGCAGUGUAAUCGUGUACGUAAAAGCACCACAGAGUGCCGUUUUGUCAAGUGUAAUUGUAAUAAUAGUGUAAUCAAAAUUUCUACGUGUUCCGACGCCUCAUUGGCAGUCAUGUACCGCCGAGUAGACCUCGCGCCCAAUGUAAUGAACCAGUGUAAAUCGUGAACAAUAAAACGUCCACCCAGCACCUCCCGUGCGCGACGUGCGACCCGUAGAACAACCAGAACAGUGUAUGUAAAUUAACCUAAACAACCCAACCUAGUCAGGAAACAAAUUCCAUCACUGCCGACGGUUCUAGCGGACCACGCUGGGACAAAGAACCCACGACCAUCACACGGUUAGACACCGAGCUAGCCUGGCGCCCUCCCGGAACAGAAAUCUCUAAGAAAGCCAGCCACCCCGCUAGGACCUGCGCCCGACCUCGAACACGAGACCGCGGCGGACGGGGACAGCCUAAGUUUCACCCCCAUAGAUCGACAUGCCCUUCGGGCUGGUUCGUACAUGUUCGGUUUUUUUUUUUUUUUUUUUAUCUGUACGUUCAAAACAAACAUUGCAAUAUUGAUCAAAAAAUUGUUGACUAAUGUUAUUUUAUAUUUUUUUAAGAGUAAAACACAUGUACACAAAUAUUUCCUUUUACUAAUUAUGAGAUUUUCAGGUAGCGUGUGGAGAUUUCAUCUUAUGUUCAUGAGCGCACAACGUAUAAAAUAUAAAAUCAUAAGAAAUGUUUUCUGGUGGUGUGUAGCAGUUAACCGCAUUUAAGUAAAAGUAUUUUAAAAUGAUUGUUACCAGAGCUGAAUUACAUUGAGGUGAGUGCACUUAAUAUAAUUUGGGGUAUUGCAGGAAAAAUUAUAAAUUCCUAAAGUGUUUUUUACUUCCUGACAUGUUUAAAAUUAUUAUUCUCUAUGAGGGUUGUUUGAUACUGCAAGUAGUUUAUCAUGUUUAACAUGUGGAUAGGUUAGGAUUAUUUAUUACAAAUCUGUAAUAUUGAGAUACUGCCCUUGGGUUAGCUGGAUUAAAAAUACAGUGAAAUUUGUUAGGUUAGUAACAUUAUACGUACAGUGAUUCUAAGUACAGUGGAAUUUACAUUUGGUUAGCUUGGAAUAGCACCAAUUAAAAAUUCUGUAAAAUCAAUUGAACGGUUGGAUGUUACUAACCUAAUCUAACCAACCAAUAUACAUUUUACAGUGAUUUUUUUAGGUUAUUAUCUCACAUUGCUGCUUUUUGUAUGCAAAAUAAACUUUGGACACUUUUUUUUUAACUUUAAAUAUGUACCUGUAUUUACUCUGAAAAAAGUUUUUUCUAAAUUCAGACUGGUUUUUGAGAAAUCACUGUUUAUAGGUUACAUUACAUUACCUGUGCAGUAAAGGGCCUGUCACCAUGUUGUUCUUUAAUUGAGUUGCAGAUCUUGUUGUUUUUCAUACACAAAUUGUCUAUUUUUUAUUUGGAUAUUGCAAUGCAGUAACAUAAAUUAACACAUUAAAAAAGUUAUGUGACUCCUUAUUGUGCAUUCCAAACCCAAAGCAUCAGUCCUUGAGAGCGAUAUUUUUUAGCAGUUUAUAGGUGCAAAAUUCUGAUUUUUUACGUGAGACAACACAUAACCUGACAUAUAAAAUAAAUUUUCAUUUUGUAACAAAUGAUUCCUUUUAUACGUCAGGUUACGUGCUAUUGCAGGUAACUAAUCUGCGCUUUGCGCCUCCAUACUGCUAUAAAAAAUCCCUGUCAAGGGUUGGCGUUUUGGUUUGGAUACACAUUAGAGACUCGUAACUUUUUUUAAAACUAUUAUUUACGUUUCAUUAGGUUAUAAUAUUCAAAUAAAAAAUAUAUACAUUCUUAUAUAUAUGGAAAACCACAGGAUCUGCUAUGCAAUUAGAGGGGAAAAUGGUAACAGCUGCUUCACUGCAUAAGCUAUCUAGCGUGACCUGCAAAAUGUGAUUUCUUGAAAACCAGUAGGAAUUAAGAAAAGCUGUUUACAGUUUUAAUAGAGGAAGGUUUUUAGUGUCUGAAGCGGUAUUUUCAAAAUUUUAUAAUUUAAUUUAUGGAUAAGCAGCAACAAAAGAAAAUUACUUUUUUUAAAUUUAGCUAACCAACCAUUCACAUGAUUUUACAAAUUUUGUAUUGUUUAUACUUACCUACUUUAACAUUAAACUACUGUUAAACAAUUUAUUUCAAUUUUUUAAAAAUAUAUUUGGGAAUUAGCGCAGUAUAAUCGAAGACGUUUACUGUAUUGAUGAUUGAUUUACUUUAUUGAUGCACAAUGAAGUUGUAUAAUUGUUGGAUUGGUUAAGCAAAUUCAAGCAUCAAGGGUACUGAUCAAUGGUUUUUAACAUUAUAUUUUCUUAAUGAAUCCAUUGGUAAAACGUUAAAACACUGGAAUGGCUAAAUUUCCAUCGACUGCUUAUGUUUUUUUCCGCAUGCUCACUUGAAAACAAUUACAGGGUUAUACUGUAGUUCACAGUUGCAAUACUUGGUUAGGUUAGUUACAUAAGUGCUGUUAAAUCAUGAAAAUGGUUAGGGAAAGGUAACUUCUUCAUAACUACUGUAAAAUGGUGUAAGCAAUUAUUCUUUAGGUAAGUUUACCUAGACUUUAAAAAUAAUUUAUUUGGCGAAGUACAUAGUACUAAGAAUUACUAUUUAUCAAAUUUGGUUUGUGUGGAAAAGUUGUUACUCUAGGAAAUUUCUGAAUCCAUCUUUGUAGGAAUAUAAACUAAUAUUAUUAGAAACAAAAAAAGAACAAUGUGUGGUAUAUUUUAAUUUUCUAACACGCUCUGAACUCUGCAGUUAUGCGAUUACCGAUAAUAAUUGUAAAUCAUUGCAAUAUACAUCCGACACAUUUUGUAGUGAUUUCACAACUGUACUAUGAAGUAAUGCCAUCGACUGCUGCAAAAUAACAUGCUGACAUCUAUUCUUGUGUAGGCAUUUUGUUGAUACAACUAAAAUAUGAACAUAUAGGAUAUAUAUAGAAUCUUACAAAUUUUGGUAACCUACCUACUAAUACUCUCCCCAAAGACUUUGGUUAGAUACUUAAAAAAAAAAAAAAAAAAAAAAAAAAUUAACUGCUUUUGUGACAUGCAUUACGUGAAAUUAAUUCAACUUGUAAAAAUUUUGCUUGAGUCAAAGCCUAGAUUUGCUUAAGCUAAUAACAAGCAAUUACAUCACUUGAGGCCCUGAGAAAUAAACUUCUAAAAUUGUGUAGUUACUUGGAUUGUUAAAUACCUAGUUUUUCUGCAAUAAUGGGCACAAGAGCAAUAGAAUUAUGUUUUUCAUAUAAUUUUUUUUCACAUAAAUGAGUUUUUGUCAAAAAGUAUUUGGAAAAAAUAUCUAUUUGAAAGGACAAAGAAAAAUGUUAAUUGUAGUACAUAAAUGAGAAUAUACCAAAAUAUUUAAUGUAUCAAAUUUCUAACUAAAAUGGUUUUGAAAUUAAUUUAUCAUUCUGGUAUGCAUAACUUUUUUCUUUGAUACAUUUAUUUAUCAGUUUCAUUUCUCUUUAGCACAAUAUAAAUCAUUUAACUUUGAUUUCUUUUUUGUUUCAGGCUUGUGGAGAACAGCUUUUUUUUAAUCUACUCUUUGGCUGGCGAAUGUAAAUAAGCAAUGAUUUCGUGAAUGCAGCGAGAGAGUUUAUUUGAUGUAUUUUAAAAUCACUGAUAAUAUUUAUUGAUGUAUUUUAAAAUCACUGAUAAUAUUUAUUGAUGUAUUUUAAAAUCACUGAUAAUAUUUGUUUUGUGGCUGGAAGAUGGUAACCAUGGUGACUUGUGAAUUUUUAUGAAGAUUAAUAAAAAGCAGUAAAAAUUA
This is a long non-coding RNA of Bacillus rossius redtenbacheri, 4963 nucleotides long. RefSeq lists it as uncharacterized. The record is from RefSeq and is a predicted model, not a curated record. Lineage: Eukaryota; Metazoa; Arthropoda; Insecta; Phasmatodea; Bacillidae. The transcript is spliced from 2 exons.